CAGGGAAUCUUCCACAAUGGGCGAAAGCCUGAUGGAGCAACGCCGCGUGUGUGAUGAAGGGUUUCGGCUCGUAAAACACUGUUGUAAGAGAAGAAUGACAUUGAGAGUAACUGUUCAAUGUGUGACGGUAUCUUACCAGAAAGGAACGGCUAAAUACGUGCUAG
This 164-nucleotide ribosomal RNA is filed under the name uncultured bacterium. RNAcentral describes it as "partial 16S rRNA". It matches the Rfam family "Bacterial small subunit ribosomal RNA", at positions 355 to 511 of the family's 1533-position model. The record is from RNAcentral.